This 234-nucleotide long non-coding RNA is filed under the name Elaeis guineensis (African oil palm). RNAcentral describes it as "long non-coding RNA (EGUI_LNC004837)". The record is from RNAcentral. Lineage: Eukaryota; Viridiplantae; Streptophyta; Magnoliopsida; Arecales; Arecaceae.
CCCUUGAUAUCCAUAAUAGUGUAGAAAAUAUUAUCGAAUACAUUCUUCUUGAUAUGCAUGAUGUCAAAAUUAUGAUGGAUCAAAUUGGUGGAUUAGUAUGGCAAUUUUCAGAAGAUGCUUCACUUCAUCCAGUUAUGAGUUCUACCAAACCUCUAAGGCUUCUGCCUGUCAAAUAGCAUGCCAAAUUGAACUUCGUCCAGUUGGGAUACCCUUUGAAAUACUUGUAUACCACUG